GACGAACCGUGCGAACGUUAUUCGGAAUCAUUGGGCUUAAAGAGCGCGUAGGCGGCGGCGUAAGUUGGAAGUGAAAUCCCAUCGGCUCAACCGUGGAAUCGCUCCCAGUACUGCGUCGCUCGAGGGAGAUAGGGGACUGUGGAACUGCCGGUGGAGCGGUGAAAUGUGUUGAUAUCGGCGGGAACGCCAGUGGCGAAAGCGACAGUCUGGACCUCUUCUGACGCUGAGGCGCGAAAGCUAGGGUAGCGAACGGG
RNAcentral lists this ribosomal RNA (254 nucleotides) under uncultured bacterium. RNAcentral describes it as "partial 16S ribosomal RNA". It matches the Rfam family "Bacterial small subunit ribosomal RNA", at positions 524 to 776 of the family's 1533-position model. The record is from RNAcentral.